UGUGUAGAAAUGAACUCGUGUCAGAGUUUCAAAAGGAAUUAAUAUUUUUGGUAAAAUGUGCUAAUGCAGAGAGAAGAUUAGUGGUGGGUAAUGAAAGCAGUGCAUUCUUUCGUAUGGAAAUAGAACUAGAGUAAAUGUCCUGCAGGUGAUUGGGCUGUAGCAAUUUUGCUGAAGAUUAAAGUUUGAUUGACCUUUGUUAGGGUGAUUAACCCUUCUAGAAUUAAAAGCCAGGGCUGAAUUAUUCUGCCAAUUUAAAUGCAAA
This is a non-coding RNA of Erinaceus europaeus (western European hedgehog), 262 nucleotides long. NCBI's taxonomy places the organism in Eukaryota, Metazoa, Chordata, Mammalia, Eulipotyphla, Erinaceidae. The record is from Rfam.